Daucus carota subsp. sativus is the source of this 4194-nucleotide long non-coding RNA. RefSeq lists it as uncharacterized. The transcript is spliced from 5 exons. The record is from RefSeq and is a predicted model, not a curated record. NCBI's taxonomy places the organism in Eukaryota, Viridiplantae, Streptophyta, Magnoliopsida, Apiales, Apiaceae.
UUUAGGACUACCAAUUGGUAUUUCUUCAAUUGACCACCAUAACUUAGGGUUUUUGGUUUGAAUCAGGGGUUCCUUUUUAUUUCAAUUUUUCAACUCAAGAGUUCAAUUGCUCUGAUUAGUUUGGUUUCUCUCUUUGUUUCAGGGUUCUGAGAGAGAUUCUUGUAGUGUGUUAAAAACUCUAAGAAGAGUUAGCUUAUUGAUUCUGUUUGUGACCAUGUGCACAGGCUCCAGUGCUCUGCAACUGUUUAUCCUCUUUCUCACCCACAACCCAAGUGUAUCAAAACUACCAUAUUGGUAAUAUUUCUCUCCCUCCCUCCCUCUGUUCUUGUUAUAUGUACUGUCUACAGUAAUUUUUUUGUCUUAGAAUCAGGCAAGUGUUUGCUUUGUCCAAGGUCGUACAAAAGCUAUAAUGUUUUCUUAAAUAUGAAACACAUGUACAGCCACUAGGCUUCUUGGAGUUGGGAGGCAAUGGGUCCUCUUACAUUAUUUGUUGAUAUGAAAAGCUCUUCUUCAGGUUAACUAUCCCCCUCAUUUUUCAUUCAAGCAUUCUUUUGACAUUUUCUUAUGGUUCAAUUGUUUAUUAGAAUUAGCCAAAUGGUACCAAUGACUAUUUUGGGCUUCCAAGUGGUAACACCCAACUUUUGACUUCAUCCAUCACAUACCACUCUGUUAAUCAAACGUUAAUCAAGCUGUUAAGUAGUAAUUAAAACCAUAUUUCCCUCCAAAAUACUGUUACCAGCAAGUUAAUACAAUAUCCAAAACAACCAACAAGUCUGAAUCAAUAAUGAACUACAAGAGUUUCACAAAUUUCCCAAAAUAUGUUCUAACCAUUUAAAGCAUAAUAAGCAUAAUAAAACAGGUCAGAUUUAAGGCUGAGAUUGAGAUGGUGGACAUUGAGACGUGUUGAUUUCAGUGGACUGUGAUGUGUUGCCCUCCUUAGUCUGAUUUGAAGCUUCCUUUUUUAGAGCUGCAGUUGCUUUCCUUGCCUUGGAUUGAUCCCUAAUUCUUGGAUGUCUAACCACUAUUGGUCCAUUCCCUGCUGCCUUCUUUUCUUUUGCAGUCAAACCUCCCUUGCAAGUUCUUGAAUUGUGGCCAAGGCAGUCACACUUAGUGCAUUUCACUGUUUUUGCUCUCUUCCCUUUCUGGUUUUUUCCUUCUUCCCUUCUCCUGUUUCUGCUUGGUCUCCCAACCCCUCUCUUCAUUGCAGGUGGCAUGACAAUAGGUAGAUCAUCAUAUGCAGGCCAUUGGCUUUGGUCAGGUAUGGGGUUAAUGCUAAAACUAUAAGAAAGCUUGUAUGUCCUAACAGAGUACCAUGCACUGACAACAUUGUGAGGAUCAAUCUUGGCAUGAACAAUAAUGUCCAGUAGUGAGGUUUUAUCUACAUCAACCUUAACCUCUACUUGAGUACCCAAGUGAAAAAUUAAUACUUUCUCCAUCUGCACAUAUGUUGACAAUCAUAUUACACCCAAUGCACCAGUUAACAGUUAUGAGUAUUAUACAUAUCAAUGUAUAUUAUGCAAACCCAAAAAACCUCAUUUACAGGGGAGUCAAAAAUCGUUCACUAUCAUACAUAAACACAUAUACACAGAUAAACUCGCACAUAUACACAGAUUAACCCUAAAACAAUGAAUUAAGCCGCGAAAGAUAUAUAUGUAUCGAUUAUAUAGAGUAAUUGAAGGUGAAAUGCAUACCUUAUACUUUGAUCAGUGUUGAAUUAAGUGGCGAGUGGCUGUAUUGUUCACUAUCUCGAUCGAUCCCCUCUUUCCAUGGAACCCUAAUCCUGCGUGUGUGUUUGGUUCUGUGACAUUAAACUCUCGUACCCGACUAAUGACCCAAAUUCAUGUUUUUUUACUUUUAAUUCAUUUUAUUUUAAUUACUUUUUUAAUUAAAUCAUAAUGGAUUAACGUUUUAUUAACGUUAACUAAACAGAGUGGUAUGUGAUGGAUGAAGUCAAAAGUUGGGUGUUACCACUUGGAAGCCCAAAAUAGUCAUUGGUACCAUGUGGAAAAGCCAAUUCUACAAUGGUACCAUUAGGAAUUUCCCUUAGAAUUAUAACUUUUGCUAAAGUUUUUUGCUUUUUAGUUAGUGAAUUAUAUAGUAAAAGCUGUGAUUGGAUUCUAUUGGUUUUAUAUUAUAACAUUCAUCUCAAUUGCAUUGUUCAUUUUUUGUGUCGAUUUCUAAGGCUUGAUUACUUUUCCGGAAAAACCAAAGCCAUGUGUAUUUUUGAUAUAUUCUUGACAAAGAAGAUAUGGAGGAGAUGAAUAUUUUAUAGAAUAUGUUUAACUUGAUCAGAUUUAUGUGCUUGAUGUAUAAUGUUUUCGUAUUCAAUAUAGUAAUUUGUUUUAUCAAGUGGAAACACUCGAAUAAACAUAGGAAAGCUUAAAGGUGUUUAGUCAGGAAGAAAAAAUCAGUAGAAAGAUUGAGUUGGUGGAAAGAAAUUGGAGAAGGGCAUUUGAUGAGUCAAUUCAGUGCUUCCUCCAGCGGCAAAACAAGUGAGAACUUCUUAAACUUCAAACACGAGGAAUGACAGGGAAGGCUAUUUGCACCCGUCUAAUAAUUUUCAGAUCUUUAACCUCGUCUAAUCUCUUCUCAAUACAUGACUUAUCUCUGGCGAGCUGUGAUUUAGAUGCUCCGACGACCUUCGACUUUUCUGGCGACGGAAAAGAAGUGUCGAGAUUUUCAUAGACGAAUCCAUCCCGUAUCCCGUGUUGUGUUUCGUGUCGUGUCGUGUGGACACGGGUACGGUCGCUGGAGUAGGCGAGUCGGAGUAACACAGUGUAUAUCAAUCUUCAAUAUCAUCGGUGGAUUACUUUCACAAACAAUGAAGAAAAUGCUUCAAAUUUACAACACCUCCCGAGUCAUCAAAGUAAUUUGUCCUGAAGGUUUAAAAUUAUGAAGAGGGCAAUGCCAUUGGAUGAUCAGAUGAACAUAUCUUCUGAUGAGUCAUUAUCUUCUGAACCAGACAUUGCAGAGUUGGCUGGCAAGCUUGUUCAGGACAUACCAAUUGAUCAACCAACUGACAUUGUUAUGACAACUGAUCUGGACGGCUUUCCCCUUUAGAAAAGAUCAUAUAUAAAUGGUGUAAAGUCAACGGAUUUGAGAUCACAAUGACCUCUUCAUAUACGGUCUUGGGUUGAUUUUCAAAAACAUAGAAAGAAAGAAAAGCACUCUGUUAAUCUGCCUAGAAUUGCUAGUCCAGUAAUGUCAACUGUGCUGCCUGCAGCACCACUGAACAUUUUCCCACAAGAAUUAUGUUGCAAAUAUGAGGGGACAAUUUAAAGUGGUUCCUGGGAGAUUUGGUCUUGGGGCAAUGGAAGUCCCCCGGCCCCCAGAGGUACUGGAAAGCGGUCACUUGAGCAGUGGUCUGCAGACUCUAUAUCAUGAACCAGCUGGUGCAACCGAGGCGUGAUACCAUCAAGCAGUCUCCUGAGUAGUGGGUGGCAGACUCUGAACUGUCACCCGAACAAUGGCCUGCAGGCCCUGAACCAAGAAAAUGCUGGUGAUACUGCGAUAGCGAUGUUGAUCUGGGAAAUCCAGUUAACAUGGACAGUCACAGCUUUGAAGAAGGCACUAGUGCAAAUCAAGUGCUGGACGAUCUGCCUAGUGAGGAGGAAGUUAGUAAUAUGAUACAGGAUCUUGAAGCCUAUGAUUUAUUUGAUUUGAUAAAUUAAAACCAAACAAAGGAGGAAUAUAGCGCAAGUUCGUUCUUUAAAGGCUUACUUGACUUGUCUGGCCGGCCCCAAAUGCUCAAGUUAAAUGAUUGACCUCAAUCUGGUUUUUGAGAAUCAUCUCCCAUGUCAUAAUGUGGAGUUCUUAAGUGCUUUGCCUUUCAAGGAGUACACACAUCCACAGAGCGGCUACUUGAACCUUGCUGUCAAGUUACCCGAGGGCCAUCUGAAGCGAGACAAAGGGCCAAAGCUGUAUACUGCUUAUGGCUUUUCCCAGCAACUCGGACGUGGUGACUGUCUCAAAACUCAGCUAUCAUAAUUCAGAUGCGGUAUGAUCUAGUUUGUAAAUAGAGUGAAUAACUUUCACAAACAAUGAAGAAUAUGCUCCAAAUUUACAACCUCUCCCAAGUUAAGUUGUUUUUGAUUGUGCAAACAAUUUUGUUACCCAUGCAAUGUAUAUAUCAAUGUAUGUCAUACAAUCACCUCCAACCAUUUAUCAAUUAUCGUACUUCAUAAAUAUGACUUA